This 1365-nucleotide long non-coding RNA is filed under the name Camarhynchus parvulus. RNAcentral describes it as "lncRNA (ENSCPVG00000017036.1)". The record is from RNAcentral. Lineage: Eukaryota; Metazoa; Chordata; Aves; Passeriformes; Thraupidae.
CCGGGGGGCAGAGCCGGGGUCCCCUGCCGGGAGACGGGACGGGCAGAGAAAAGCCGGGGGGCGGGGCGGCCUCGCCGCGGUGACUCAGCGGCGCGGAGCACCGGGCUGCGACCGGUAUUUCCUGUUCCCCUGCCGCCGCCGCGGUGUUGGUGUGUGCGGGCGUGGGCCGGGGGAGCCGGGCGAAGGCACCCCUGGCCUGGAGGGGCAGCAGCCGCAGGUGGGGGCACGCCUAAAGAGGGGCGCGCCGCCCUCCCCGUCCGGCCGCCACCGCCCCUCCCCUGCGUGCCCUGCCCUCCCCAUCGUUCCCCUCUCCUCCCCACCUGGGGGCGAGGCCGGCACCUGCGGCGGGAGCCCGCCCCGGCGUGGCCGCACCGCCCCCGCCCGCGCCCCGCAGGCAAUCGCCCGACUCGGCGGGAGCGGCCACAGCGGACCCGGACCCAGCCUCAGUCUCGUCCCCAGUCCCAGCCUCGACCCUGCACUCGGAAUCGACGCCCCAGUCGCUGCCCGCUCCGGGGCGGCAGGGCAGGGCAAGGCGCAGUCCCAGCGCCGGGGCGCCUCUGGGACUUCUGCUCCCGCUGCCGGACGCCCUCCGCGAGCAGGCGAGUAUCCCCGCGGGAUGUCCCCGCCCCGAACCCGCGCUCAUCGCCGGUUCCCUGCCCCCGGGCAGGUGCGGUGCCCCUCGGCACCCCCUGUACCCCGCGGCCGGUGCCUCUGCUCCCCGCCCCGGGGGCCGCGCUGCGGCCACGAGCUGCCCGGCUUCUCCUUCUCGUUCCUUUGUGUGCUUUGGCUUUUAUCGCCCUGUUGCCUGCGCUCUUCAGGCGCGCUUUGCCGCCUUUGUCCGCGGAGUCGGACCCGCCGCGCCCCCGCGGGUCCCCCCCAGGCCGGUCUCGCGCCCGCCGCGCACCUGGGCGGCGCGAACAGCCGGGCUCGGCCGGGGAUCGGCUUUUCUCUAACGGGAUUAAGCGGCUCUCGGUGACUUUUUCCGUGAUAAGUACUUUCCGGGAGAGCGCGAUACUACGUGGAAAGCGGGAGAGAUGUCACCGGCGAGUCGGGGUGUUUGUUUACCCGGGUUACUCCCGGGGGUGCCGCUGGGGGGGCGGGUCCCCCGGGCAGCCCACGCCCCCGCUGUCGGGGGCUUGGGCUGCCUUUGUUGCGCAGAGAAUUCCUGAGAUCUUUAUGUUGGCGCGUCCCGGGUGGAUUCCAGCCGUGCCUUGGGCUUUGACUAACUGGGUUAGGGGAAGUUUCAAGUUAACAGGGAACCGUGAAACAAAGGACAGGCAGUUCCAGAAGACAAACGCUUUAAUUGGCCUGUUAAAGUGCCUUGGCAUCGGCCGUGUUUGCGGUGCUGGAACCCAGGUACAUUAG